AAUUCUCAACUGUCCCAGGCUUUGUGGCUUGCGGGUGAAGUUGGACUUGGAGGUGUGCUGGCGCAUGAAUGGGCUUUCUGCCCUGCCGUGCUUGUCGGCUCCUCUUGAAUGUAUGAGCUUUCCAAUCCUUGGCAAAGUAUCGUCGAUGUGAUAAUUAUCUGCAUUGUCUGAGAAAGCCUAACAGGGGAAACCUUUGAUCACGUCGGGGUGACCCGCGUCUGACAA
RNAcentral lists this unclassified non-coding RNA (225 nucleotides) under uncultured Tomentellopsis. RNAcentral describes it as "sequence contains ITS2". Lineage: Eukaryota; Fungi; Basidiomycota; Agaricomycetes; Thelephorales; Thelephoraceae. The record is from RNAcentral.